UGGUUGGUGCACUCAACAGCUGACUGCAGUGGCACUCGAAUUAAACACCUGUGCGCACCUCUACAUCUGUUACGCCGGGCGGGGACUUCAGGACUAGCUGAAGCUAAUAUCCAUAGUGGUACAUCACCUCUGCCAUCAAAACGGCGGUCGAACGAGGGACGCCAAGUGAACAUGGGGCCAUCAGACCAUGGAUUCCGAGCUGGGAACUGAAGUGUAGCAUCGGCACCAGGUGACAGUAGAUGAAUUGGUCGUAGGCACCGGGAUUCUUCCCACAUCCAAGAAGCUAAUCUUCGGUACCAUCUCAGUCGCACCUGGACACCGGCCCUGGUUCCCCUACUUCUUCUUUUCUUCGUGUUAAAUCCCACCGAUAUGUACGGUAACAUGCACUCAGUGACUUCUCCACUGUUGUAGUUGUCCAGUUCCCUAUACACUGGCAUAUGGCAACAACCAAGGUCGUUCUUGGUCAUCUGGGGUUCCUGCUUGUCAAUAUUUUUAGAAAGUGUGCUUACGUCAAGAUUUCUAGCCAUACCUUGUCAGAAGCCUUUCAUGGUUGAUCAAAAAACCGCAGCAUGCAUUUUGUACUGCUUUAUGGAUUAAAUGCUGCAACUUGUGAUGCAGUGACCCAUUACAGUCAAUAAGUUAACAAUUAGGAGACACAGAAAAAGAUGUACACUGUUAUGUGUUAGACUACAAUACCGUAUUGUACUGUUAUUUUAUCAAUUCAGACAGCCAGUUGUUUUAUCUGUUUACUCUGUGCUCAAUAGCACUGAAUAAACAGCAGGUGCAUUGUUUGAGCUGUGGUUGGGCGAAGUUCAGGACCUGAGCAAACCUGUGUCGUAUACAUUUGCCAAACAGAAGAUGUGAUUGAUGUCCAGGUCAUUUGUAGUUCUUAAAGGUGAGUGUGAGUGGCACUGUGGAAAUAAACUUAACUCUUUAGUUCUCUA
Molecule: long non-coding RNA, 944 nt
Organism: Oreochromis niloticus (Nile tilapia)
Lineage: Eukaryota; Metazoa; Chordata; Actinopteri; Cichliformes; Cichlidae
Exons: 3
Source: RefSeq, a predicted model, not a curated record